Molecule: long non-coding RNA, 289 nt
Filed under: Homo sapiens (human)
Lineage: Eukaryota; Metazoa; Chordata; Mammalia; Primates; Hominidae
Description: non-protein coding lnc-ENTPD6-2:1
Source: RNAcentral
AGCCUUUUCUUGUUUUAGCAACUGAAAAUUGUACUUGGUCACUUUUGUGCUUGAGGAGGCCCAUUUUCUGCCUGGCAGGGGGCAGGUCUGUGCCCUCCCGCUGACUCCUGCUGUGUCCUGAGGUGCAUUUCCUGUUGUACACACAAGGGCCAGGCUCCAUUCUCCCUCCCUUUCCACCAGUGCCACAGCCUCGUCUGGAAAAAGGACCAGGGGUCCCGGAGGAACCCAUUUGUGCUCUGCUUGGACAGCAGGCCUGGCACUGGGAGGUGGGGGUGAGCCCCUCACAGCC